Molecule: non-coding RNA, 229 nt
Filed under: Clostridium botulinum
Lineage: Bacteria; Bacillati; Bacillota; Clostridia; Eubacteriales; Clostridiaceae
Description: T-box sequence
Rfam family: T-box leader
About the family: Uncharged tRNA acts as the effector for transcription antitermination of genes in the T-box leader family. T-boxes are found upstream of many aminoacyl-tRNA synthetase genes and some amino acid biosynthetic genes usually in Gram-positive bacteria.
Source: RNAcentral
UUAAAAUCUUUGAUGGGAAGAGUAGAUAUUAUUAAGUAUCCGCAGCGAGUAGGGUUGGUGUAAGCCUAUGAGAAAAAUAAUAUUGAAAGACAUCCCGGAGAUGCUUAUUUGAAUAGAAAUAUUAAGUAGAAUAAGCCGGUUUUCCUCCGUUAAAGGGACUAGAGAUAACAAAGUAUUAAUACGUUGUUAAAUUAAGAUGGUACCGUGAAUGUAAGAUUUCACUCCUAUA